GCUCAGGAUGAACGCUGGCGGCGUGCCUAACACAUGCAAGUCGAACGGAGUCGUUUUGGAAAUCUCUUCGGAGAUGGGAUUCUCGACUUAGUGGCGGACGGGUGAGUAACGCGUGAGCAAUCUGCCUUUAAGAGGGGGAUAACAGUCGGAAACGGCUGCUAAUACCGCAUAAAGCAUCGAAACCGCAUGAUUUUGAUGCCAAAGGAGCAAUCCGCUUUUAGAUGAGCUCGCGUCUGAUUAGCUGGUUGGCGGGGUAACGGCCCACCAAGGCGACGAUCAGUAGCCGGACUGAGAGGUUGAACGGCCACAUUGGGACUGAGACACGGCCCAGACUCCUACGGGAGGCAGCAGUA
Molecule: ribosomal RNA, 353 nt
Filed under: uncultured bacterium
Lineage: Bacteria
Description: bacterial SSU rRNA
Rfam family: Bacterial small subunit ribosomal RNA
Source: RNAcentral